UGGAACAUGUACUCUUUUAGCAUUUCUCUAGUAGGUUUUCUCAAGGGGAAAGCCUCC
Small nuclear RNA from Oncorhynchus kisutch (coho salmon), 57 nucleotides. Its record names the gene U7. It matches the Rfam family "U7 small nuclear RNA". Rfam says of the family: Animal histone pre-mRNAs are spliced by a different mechanism than nuclear pre-mRNAs and self-splicing introns. This processing involves the U7 snRNP, which contains only one RNA species: U7. The record is from Ensembl. Lineage: Eukaryota; Metazoa; Chordata; Actinopteri; Salmoniformes; Salmonidae.